This 839-nucleotide long non-coding RNA is filed under the name Elaeis guineensis (African oil palm). RNAcentral describes it as "long non-coding RNA (EGUI_LNC078326)". Lineage: Eukaryota; Viridiplantae; Streptophyta; Magnoliopsida; Arecales; Arecaceae. The record is from RNAcentral.
ACCAUAUUAACUUGGAAGCAGUAAACAACGACGGUGUUGUGCACCACAAGAUUAAUUGUCACAAAAUCACAUUUAAAAAUAUACACUACAUGCACUCAAGGCCACUACGGUAUUAGAAAUACAUCUGGCAUACCUUCUCUAUCUCAUCUUGGUCCUUUCGUGUAAACCCACUAGCAGCAAGUUCCCUGUCCAGGAAUCCAGCUGAUUUUGCUACGGAAGAAAAGGAGGGCCUGCCAUUUUCCUCAGCAUCAGAUUCUGAACUACCACCCACUCCUCUGUCCUCUUGAUCCGAAAGAUUAAACCUGGAAAAGGAGAAAAUGUAGAAUCAUACAUGCUCUUAAUAUUUAGGAUCCAAUGUACAGGUCUGUGGUGCCCAUGCACGGAAAAGUGCAUCAGAAAAUAUAUCAGGAAGAAGGAAUAGCUUCAACAAAAAAUGUACAACAUAAAAUUUGAACAUUGUAUGGUGGCAUUGUAGGUGGCAUUUAGUGACCCAAAACUAUGAUGAUUAUAGAUCACCAAUGAUCCUCAUCCUAGGGUAAUUUGAUUCCCAAUGAUCUAAAGAUCACCACAUUUGAUAUACUAUGUUCCAAUGAUUAAAGAUUGAUCAUCCAUAUGAAACCUAUUUGGAAUGCCAUGGAAAUUCAAGACCACUAACCACAUAAUACCAAAAUUACCCUAGAUCCAUUCCACAUAUUUUGCAACUACUAAGCAGAAUUCUCAAAUAAAUCAUAGGAAAACGUACAACAAUGACUAGCAGUAGGUCCAUGCAACAUGUAGAGUUGUUUGCACAGGCCAAUUAAAAUUUUGACAACAAAAUUACUAAUCCUAUAGAAAAAUAU